AAGGAAUAUUGCUCAAUGGGAGAAAUCCUGAAGCAGCAACGCCGCGUGGAGGAUGAAGGGUCUAUGACUUGUAAACUCCUGUAAAGAAGGAAAAAAUUCCCAUUAGAUGGGAGAUGAUGUUACUUCUGGAGUAAGCCCCGGCUAACUACGUGCCAGCAGCCGCGGUAAUACGUAGGGGGCAAGCGUUGUCCGGAUUUACUGGGUGUAAAGGGUGCUCAGGCGGAUUUGUAAGUCAGAGGUGAAAUCUUACAGCUUAACUGUGAAACUGCCUUUGAUACUGCAAGCCUAGAGUAUGGAAGAGAGUGAUGGAAUAUCUGGUGUAGCAGUGAAAUGCGUAGAUAUCAGAUAGAACACCAAUGGCGAAGGCAGGCACUUGGUCCAUUACUGACGCUAAAGCACGAAAGCGUGGGUAGCAAACA
Molecule: ribosomal RNA, 419 nt
Filed under: uncultured bacterium
Lineage: Bacteria
Description: bacterial SSU rRNA
Rfam family: Bacterial small subunit ribosomal RNA
Source: RNAcentral